GAUUGAACGCUGGCGGCAGGCCUAACACCUGCAAGUCGAGCGGAUGAAGGGAGCUUGCUCCUGGAUUCAGCGGCGGACGGGUGAGUAAUGCCUAGGAAUCUGCCUGGUAGUGGGGGAUAACGUCCGGAAACGGGCGCUAAUACCGCAUACGUCCUGAGGGAGAAAGUGGGGGAUCUUCGGACCUCACGCUAUCAGAUGAGCCUAGGUCGGAUUAGCUAGUUGGUGGGGUAAAGGCCUACCAAGGCGACGAUCCGUAACUGGUCUGAGAGGAUGAUCAGUCACACUGGAACUGAGACACGGUCCAGACUCCUACGGGAGGCAGCAGUGGGGAAUAUUGGACAAUGGGCGAAAGCCUGAUCCAGCCAUGCCGCGUGUGUGAAGAAGGUCUUCGGAUUGUAAAGCACUUUAAGUUGGGAGGAAGGGCAGUAAGUUAAUACCUUGCUGUUUUGACGUUACCAACAGAAUAAGCACCGGCUAACUUCGUG
RNAcentral lists this ribosomal RNA (485 nucleotides) under uncultured bacterium. RNAcentral describes it as "partial 16S ribosomal RNA". It matches the Rfam family "Bacterial small subunit ribosomal RNA", at positions 27 to 507 of the family's 1533-position model. The record is from RNAcentral.